CCUCCCCUUUAUCUGGCACUCCCUUAGGUUCAUUCCCUAGUCAGUAUUGUUUCUGUGUUCAUGUCAAGACACUACUCCUAUGUUGUAUUGUUCCAUGUUCCUUAUUGUAUUAACCUUACCACCUGCACCUGCUUCUCGACUCCCAGCGUCUACGUUAUAGAAAACUGCCUCUACAAAUGGAAGCAGCAGGAAAUCAGAACAUCUCCCAGUCGGUCGACGAGAAUGGAUACCUACUUCGUCAACACCACGACCCCGGAUAAAUAUGACGGCACCCCAUCUAAAUGCCGUGGCUUCCUAGAGAGGAGGAGCUUUAUUUGUAUGAGGGGGUUAAUGGCUGUCUUCGAUCCUCCACCGGAGGGCAGAGCGGGACGUGAGUGCCUACUCCAACUUUGGCAGGAAGACUAGACGGCUGCCGAGUACACGCUCACCUUCCGGACAGUAGCAGCAUCCAGUGCAUGGAAUGAGCCAGAGCUUCAUACGCUAUUCUGAAGAGGACUGUGCCAGCUGGCACUGUCCUGUCGAGAUGACAACCUCUCCAUGGACACACUCAUCGCGAUAACCUACUUCAGUAGCGUCGGUGCUCUCCUCACUUCCCCCCCUCCCCCAGUGAACACUUUGGAUCAGAUCCUGAACCCAUGUAGGUAGGGGUCACACGCCUCUCCGUGGCGGAGCGACGCAGAUGAAGACAGCUGGGGCUCUGUCUCUAUUGAGGCGAAGGAGGGUACCAGCUCCAGCAGUGUCCAGUACGUCCCAACUCGGGAUCCACGAGAGCAGAGGGAUGAUCACGUGAUCUUCCACCUCCUAUGGCAGGACGUUAGUGUAUUCCGGUGUCGCGGGGAACUUCAUUGACCAGACCCUUGCCUCCUCUCUUAACAUCACCUCAUCCCGCUCUCCUCUCCUUUCCCAGUUCAAGCCCUCGAUAAUCGGUCACUAGGUUCUGGGACCAUCACGCACAUCACCAAACCACUCACCAUCACUGUGGAGUCCAUCCAUCAGGAGAACACUGCCUUCAUCACCAGCUCACAAGAUCAUCCUCUGCCUUCCUUGGCUUCAAUUGCCAUAACCCCACCAUCUCAUGGUCGAGGAUGUGGUUCCACGUUGGUUGAGAGUCCCGUGGUUGCCCUUUAGCCCAACAUCCUGGAGGUAUACCAGGAUCUGCGGGAAGUAUUUUCCAAAACCUGCGCCACCUGUCUCCCUCCUCAUCGCCCCGGGACUGUGCCAUCGAUCUGCUUGCAGGCUCUGCGUCCUCACAUCUACCCUCUGUCGGUGGUUGAAACCAAGGACAUGGAGGAACCACCCUGGAUGCAACAGGUUGGGCAAGAUUGAACUUGUUAGUCAAUAUUUCUGACGUUAUAAAAGGAAAUUGCUUAACAAACCAUGAUUCUUCAUUACAUAGAUUCCCUAGAUAUUUCUAUCUCCAUUUUAGACUGCUACUGUCACGACUUCCGCCGAAGUUGGUGACUCUCCUUGUUCGGGCGGCGUUCGGAGGUCUUCCUCACCAGUUUUCUAGCUGCCACUGAUCCACAUUUCUUUUCCCAUUUGUUAUAUCUUGAUUGUACACACCUGGUUCCCAUUACGUUAUUAUUAUUUCCCUAUUUAACCCUCUGGUUCUCAUUAUGUUUUGUGUGUGAUUGUUCCUGUUUUGUGUUAGGGUUUGUUAUCCCUACGUGAAUUUAUUGUACUGUUUAUUUUUCCUGAGUAAAGUACGUUAUUUUUACUCA
Oncorhynchus kisutch (coho salmon) is the source of this 1721-nucleotide long non-coding RNA. RefSeq lists it as uncharacterized. NCBI's taxonomy places the organism in Eukaryota, Metazoa, Chordata, Actinopteri, Salmoniformes, Salmonidae. The transcript is spliced from 2 exons. The record is from RefSeq and is a predicted model, not a curated record.